GUUUUUUUAGGUUUUGAUUUUUUGUAGCAUUGGAUGAGAAAAUCAAAGCCUAAAGAAAAUA
Molecule: microRNA precursor, 61 nt
Filed under: Monopterus albus (swamp eel)
Lineage: Eukaryota; Metazoa; Chordata; Actinopteri; Synbranchiformes; Synbranchidae
Description: Mal-Mir-737_pre stem-loop
Rfam family: mir-737 microRNA precursor family
Source: RNAcentral